AUCUCUAAUUUACUAAUUGGUUCUGAUGUGGAUCAGCCAUCAGAUGUAAAGGGGAAAGUCCGGUGAAAAUCCGGCGCUGUCCCGCAGCUGUGAGGAGACAAUACUUGUUUCUAAGUCUUUGUCUCUUAGUCAGAAUGCCCGCCAAUUAUGACAUAAACAU
RNAcentral lists this non-coding RNA (160 nucleotides) under Mastigocoleus testarum BC008. Lineage: Bacteria; Bacillati; Cyanobacteriota; Cyanophyceae; Nostocales; Hapalosiphonaceae. The record is from RNAcentral. RNAcentral also lists the same sequence under 1 other name.